Molecule: ribosomal RNA, 484 nt
Filed under: uncultured bacterium
Lineage: Bacteria
Description: partial 16S ribosomal RNA
Rfam family: Bacterial small subunit ribosomal RNA
Source: RNAcentral
AUUGAACGCUGGCGGCAGGCCUAACACAUGCAAGUCGAGCGGAUGAAGGGAGCUUGCUCCUGGAUUCAGCGGCGGACGGGUGAGUAAGGCCUAGGAAUCUGCCUGGCAGUGGGGGAUAACGUCCGGAAACGGGCGCUAAUACCGCAUACGUCCUGAGGGAGAAAGUGGGGGAUCUUCGGACCUCACGCUAUCAGAUGAGCCUAGGUCGGAUUAGCUAGUUGGUGGGGUAAAGGCCUACCAAGGCGACGAUCCGUAACUGGUCUGAGAGGAUGAUCAGUCACACUGGAACUGAGACACGGUCCAGACUCCUACGGGAGGCAGCAGUGGGGAAUAUUGGACAAUGGGCGAAAGCCUGAUCCAGCCAUGCCGCGUGUGUGAAGAAGGUCUUCGGAUUGUAAAGCACUUUAAGUUGGGAGGAAGGGAAGUAAGUUAAUACCUUGCUGUUUUGACGUUACCAACAGAAUAAGCACCGGCUAACUUCGUG